This 497-nucleotide ribosomal RNA is filed under the name uncultured bacterium. RNAcentral's name for it is "partial 16S ribosomal RNA". It matches the Rfam family "Bacterial small subunit ribosomal RNA", at positions 28 to 507 of the family's 1533-position model. The record is from RNAcentral.
GAUGAACGCUGGCGGCGUGCCUAAUACAUGCAAGUCGAGCGAACAGACGAGGAGCUUGCUCCUCUGACGUUAGCGGCGGACGGGUGAGUAACACGUGGAUAACCUACCUAUAAGACUGGGAUAACCUCGGGAAACCGGAGCUAAUACCGGAUAAUAUAUUGAACCGCCUGGUUCAAUAGUGAAAGACGGUUUUGCUGUCACUUAUAGCUGGAUCCGCGCCGCAUUAGCUAGUUGGUAAGGUAACGGCUUGCCAAGGCGACGAUGCGUAGCCGACCUGAGAGGGUGAUCGGCCACACGGGAACGUAGACACGGUCCAGACUCCUACGGGAGGCAGCAGUAGGCAAUCUUCCGCAAUGGGCGAAAGCCUGACGGAGCAACGCCGCGUGAGUGAUGAAGGUCUUCGGAUCGUAAAACUCUGUUAUUAGGGAAGAACAAAUGUGUAAGUAACUAUGCACGUCUUGACGGUACCUACUCAGAAAGCCACGGCUAACUACGUG